ACAACGGCCCUUUUCAGGGCCACACAAAUAUUCAAGAAAGAAUGC
This is a non-coding RNA of Drosophila ficusphila, 45 nucleotides long. The record is from Rfam. NCBI's taxonomy places the organism in Eukaryota, Metazoa, Arthropoda, Insecta, Diptera, Drosophilidae.